GAUAAACGCUAGCGGCAGGCUUAACACAUGCAAGUCGAGGGGCAGCAUAGAUUGUAGCAAUACAAUUGGUGGCGACCGGCGCACGGGUGCGUAACGCGUAUGCAACCUACCCGUCACAGGGGGAUAAUCCGGAGAAAUCUGGUCUAAUACCCCAUAACAUAUGGAUCGGCAUCGGUUCAUGUUGAAAUUUUCGGAGGUGACGGAUGGGCAUGCGUAGCAUUAGCUUGUUGGUGAGGUAACGGCUCACCAAGGCGACGAUGCUUAGGGGCACUGAGAGGUUUUCCCCCCACACUGGUACUGAGACACGGACCAGACUCCUACGUGAGGCAGCAGUGAGGAAUAUUGGUCAAUGGGCGCAAGCCUGAACCAGCCAUGCCGCGUGCAGGAUGACGGCUCUAUGAGUUGUAAACUGCUUUUGUACGAGGGUAAAGUGGGUUACGUGUAACCUUUUGAAAGUAUCGUACGAAUAAGGGUCGGCUAACUCCGUGCCAGCCGCCGCGGUAA
RNAcentral lists this ribosomal RNA (504 nucleotides) under uncultured bacterium. RNAcentral's name for it is "partial 16S ribosomal RNA". It matches the Rfam family "Bacterial small subunit ribosomal RNA", at positions 28 to 523 of the family's 1533-position model. The record is from RNAcentral.